UUCCCAUCUCUGCCCUAAUUUUUCUGUUUACUGCUCUGGAUCUUUUGUAGAUGCGUUUUGUUGCUGCGAUUUCCAACUGAGAGCAUUGAAUCUCAGUUUUUUGUUAUCUGUUCUUAAUGAGAUUUGAGCUUCCAUAUCUCUAGAUUGCGUUUUCUCCUCUCUUUUUGGGGGAUUUUGCUGAUUCUAAUAGAUCGGGACGAACUAGGAGAAUUCGUCAUACAAGAAAGCCACUAUAAGUGACCUCUUGGAGGGGCUGAAUAAAACAGUCGCAGUCAUGGGGAAAGUGCUCCUCUUUAUUAGGCACGACAAUAUAGCUCCUCUAUGAGUCUUCUUCCUUCAAUUUUAUCAUGGCUUAUUUGAUUUUGUAUCCAUUAUACUACCAUCUACGCCAUCUCUAACAUAUUCAAAUGACCUUUUAAUGAGUCUUUGUACGUGUGUGUCGUAAAGUUUUGGAGCAUUUAUACUAUGAAAAAACCAGAAUGCGGCCUCUUGAUUUUCUUUUUCUUUUUUUUUUCUUUUAAGAAAAGAAUGGUGAAAGUUAAAGAGUAACUAUGGAAUGAAAGUACCAUUUCACAUUAUGCUCCCUAAAUUUGGCAUGUUUAGGGCCUCUGUUUGGACACGCUUGCACAGAAGGGGGUUUCAGGCCUGCUUUUUUGGUCUACUUCAAGUCACCAUUUAGGCGCCUAUUUUGUCUAGUGGUAUGGUGAAACAGGGGUUUGCAAAGUCCAUCCGAACACAUCAAAAACCCGGAUUUGGCUUAAAAGUAGGUCAAAUGCCCCUUUUGAUGUGUGUCCAAACAGGCCUUUUGGACUUUACAGGUUUUACCCAUAAACUUGAGGUGUCAAACAGGAUGAUACGCUAUGGAUGCAUUCUCUAGGUUGAAGUAUCUGGGUAUCAUGUAUUUUAAUUAGACUUGACUGCAUACAAUACUUGUCUAGGAGAGACUAAAAGUAGUUAAAAGCUAAAGUAUGGCCUGGGUUGAAACUUUAUAACUAAUCAGUUAUUAUUUUGCCGAUACUAUUUGAUAUGUGAUUUAGAUCAGAAUUGUUUCGUUCUUUCGGUGUAUGGGCUGCGGAAUGAUGCUUUAUAGCCUGAAAAGUUCCAAGGCAGAAAGAAAUGUCAUUAGGAUGAAGAAAGGGACAUGAUCGAAGUUCUUCUUACUAAUAUUCAUGGGGUUACUGUUGCUAGAGGAAUUCUCUUGAGUAAGGAUCUGCUCACAAAAGUAGGCGGGUUCCCACUUGGAAAUGGUUUUUGGGAAGUAUAUAUUCAGGUGACAAUUGUACAUGAAGAGACUUUGAUGAGACCCUAUGGACGAUACAGAACAAUUGGAGAUGUGGCUGGAACAAGUAUUUGUUGGCCUGAUUGUUGUUGUUUGGUUGUGACAGCUAUGGAUUAAGCUAAAUGGAGGUAUCUCUCUCUCUCUCUCUCUCUCGUUAUUUUUGAAAACAAAAAAAAAUUGAUUUUGGAGUUGGAUGGGACAACUAUGUUUGUUUCAUGUUAGUAUUUUUUUCACAUUUCAGUUUUCAGAAGUUCAAAGAAGUCAAAUCUCUGAGUUGGUGAAUAGCUGGUUUUGGAAACUGAUUCUUGUCGAAGAAUCGGUUUCUUGGAUUUUGGUUGAAGGGGAUUUGAGCUGUAUUUUACUGAUUUUGUGGAAGCAUUGUGGUGAAUUAGAUGUUUGGUUUUGAAGAUAUUUUGCAUUUUGAUAUCGUUUAGAAGGAAUUGCAGCUGUUUUGAAUGUAGUGAAUUGAUCGAAAUGUCUCAAUUAUGAUAUUUUCUGUAGUUUCUGUCACAGAUUACAUUGAUGUCUUGUUUUACAAAAACAAAGUUGUGGUGGUUUCCAUGUUGUGUGAAAUGUAUGUGGAAAUGUCUCAUAUCAGAAAUACAACUCUUUACAUAUUUGUAGUGGGAUUCCGUCACUAUGUUCUUGAAAUAUUUAGUAGUUUUGCUUGACAAAUCUACAGAGAUUUAUGUUGUGAUUUGUUUCAGCUUUUCAUCUUCUUAUGCAUAACAGAAGGUACACAUAUUUCUAUUAUGAUUUGUUUUGAUUUUUUCUCUGCUUAUGCGUAAAAUGUUCUGAUUUAAAUAUUAAGAACUAUGUAGUGGCUUGAUCCCAAUCUUCCGAACAUUGGGUACGUAGGCAGCCGUUCAUACUAGACCGUAUCGGUGCAGCCACAAAUUCUUCUUUUUUUUU
Long non-coding RNA from Magnolia sinica, 2191 nucleotides. RefSeq lists it as uncharacterized. The transcript is spliced from 6 exons. The record is from RefSeq and is a predicted model, not a curated record. NCBI's taxonomy places the organism in Eukaryota, Viridiplantae, Streptophyta, Magnoliopsida, Magnoliales, Magnoliaceae.